CAGUAGCCACGGUAAUACGAAGGGGGCUAGCGUUGUCCGGAUUUAUUGGGCGUAAAGCGAGCGCAGGCGGUCAAUUAAGUCUGAUGUGAAAGCCCCCGGCUCAACCGGGGAGGGUCAUUGGAAACUGGGAGACUUGAGUGCAGAAGAGGAGAGCGGAAUUCCAUGUGUAGCGGUGAAAUGCGUAGAUAUAUGGAGGAACACCAGUGGCGAAGGCGGCUCUCUGGUCUGUAACUGACGCUGAGGCUCGAAAGCGUGGGGAGCAAACAGGAUUAGAUACCCCAGUAGUCCCUGUCUCUUAUAU
Molecule: ribosomal RNA, 301 nt
Filed under: uncultured bacterium
Lineage: Bacteria
Description: partial 16S ribosomal RNA
Rfam family: Bacterial small subunit ribosomal RNA
Source: RNAcentral